Molecule: ribosomal RNA, 77 nt
Filed under: Mantidactylus melanopleura
Lineage: Eukaryota; Metazoa; Chordata; Amphibia; Anura; Mantellidae
Description: partial 16S ribosomal RNA
Source: RNAcentral
UAAGACGANAAGACCCCAUGGAGCUUCAAACCCAACUACACCCCUAGCUCUUAUAGCCCCACAACCCCCCCCCCCCC